Molecule: long non-coding RNA, 1994 nt
Filed under: Varroa destructor (honeybee mite)
Lineage: Eukaryota; Metazoa; Arthropoda; Arachnida; Mesostigmata; Varroidae
Description: uncharacterized LOC111254000
Source: RNAcentral
UUGCUUCAGUCUCUCUCACUCUUAAUCCAUUAUCAAGUUGAUAGCCUCAAUGUAGAAAUACAGUAACCUAAUCCGACCGACAGAUUAUUAAAUUUACUCAUAGUACAACCCUGAUGACUGUCGAAGCUUUUUUUUGCCAGUCAUACAUACUCUAAGUAUGAACAAAAAUAACAAUCUCAAUUUCUCUUUUAAAAUAAUACACGUAAAUUACAAGUAGGGUAAUAGCAGCCUGAGCCCGUGCCUUAAUGCGCCACGUGCACAAAAAGCACUACGAACAACUACAGAUGUUAUAAUUUGUAAUGGCACACUGCGCAGAUAAUGGUAGUAAAAAUAGUGUCAAAAAAUCGGUUGGGCUCAGCGAUUGCCGUUGCCAUGACUAAACGCAGCCAUCAGACUUCGGACAGAUGAGAGUUACGUUGCGUGUUUAGUGUAUAGUUAUAUUAGUUAUAAUGGUGAAUUGGAAAAACUAAAAAAUCAAAUCUCCAAAGUCGAGUUAUUUCAUCAAUUAAUAUUGUUAUAUAGAACGAUAGGUAGUGCCGAAAUAUGGUAUGACGUUUCGAUUUAAAUUAACGAUGGCAAAAAAUCGGUAGACCUAUCAAAGCCGUUGCGUUGAGGUACUAUAACGUGGUUUUCAUUAUGCCAGCUUGAUAUCAACAUGCGAUCUAUAUUAGAAAGCAAUAAUAAAUUCACUAAAAGAUGAUGAUCUUGAUCAAAUACGACAGUAUUAACCUUUCUUUGCCUCAUGCCUUCUGUUGAUCUGUAUUAUACUGGAAAACGCUUUCAGCUAGUCCGUCGUAUCCUCUCAAUUUACGUCAUCUCACAUUAAAUGCAAAGAAUCUCUAAGGAUCAAGAAUUCGUCAGAAUUACUAACUGAAUGGCAAUGAAAAUUAUGGCAUGGGUGAUACGCUUUGUACCUUGUGUUUCUAUCGCUAUUAUCAUUAUUACACCAAGAGCAUGUGAUAGAAAUUUUUGGACAGCGUACGUGAACUACACCCUCUUUUUCAGUUCCUGCAGCCCACUAGACAAUUUUUCAGCGCAAAUAGGCGUUCCAUAAGUGGCUAAGUUUGUACAGGAGCUGCACUCUGUUAUUUUUGGUGUCUAUACUCAUAGUGUGUCUGUGUCAUUAUAUGUACUAGUGAAAAACUCGAUCGAACGUAAUUCGGAUGCAAUACUCUCUUAAAGUUAGCUCAAACGUUAGCUGCUUGCGCAGUGAAUAGACGCCUGCAGGCUGCCUUAACCUGACUAUCCCUAGAAAUUCAAACGUCUUAACGGCAAUUUGUGGCAGUCAACACAGCAAUAUAAACAGCAAUUGCUGUCAUCGUGGAUCUCUUGGUGAACAGUCCCACUUUUGGAGGUGUGAACGAAUGCCCAAUUGUUUGACUCUUGCAUGGACUAGAGAACGAAUGUACGUAAGCGACAAUAGUAUAUCCUUUGAUAACGAAAAGGAGUACACAAAAUGGUACUUCGAAUUAAUACGUCGAAGGACAAACAGUUAUACUAUUGUGAAUGAAGUCAUGGAAAUGCACCCCUCACGCGGUUACUUCGUAGAACUUUUGAACAAUCAUAAGGAAAAGAAAAUUGAAACUGGUGAGUUCGCUAUCGGAUGUGCUAUUUACAAAAGUUGCUGAAGUUCGUAUCAAAAUUUCAUUUCCUACUCUAAAAACUCUUGUCUGUGACUCAUGCUUUUGUACAUAUCUUUAAUGAAUGAAACACAUUAAAAACGUAAAACAUGUGGUACGUUUGUGGAUCGUUUUACUUUAAAUCAUCGAAUCGACGUUUUGCCAACGUCAAAGGAACGUUCGUCAAUCCUCAGGCGGACUAAUGGGCGCCGUCGCAGAUAGUACCUAGAUAGGUAUCGGUAAUACAUGACACGGACCUUCGGUUACCCUAUAAUACAUAUGUCAAGCUGACUGGAAGCGUGGCGUCGACGCGUCACGCCUCGAGCAAGCAAUAACACAGCACAGCAAGCCAUGACCGUAACCGAUGACUGCGAG